This 498-nucleotide ribosomal RNA is filed under the name uncultured bacterium. RNAcentral describes it as "partial 16S ribosomal RNA". It matches the Rfam family "Bacterial small subunit ribosomal RNA", at positions 28 to 523 of the family's 1533-position model. The record is from RNAcentral.
GUUGAACGCUGGCGGCAUGCUUUACACAUGCAAGUCGAACGGUAACAGGCCGCAAGGUGCUGACGAGUGGCGAACGGGUGAGUAAUGCAUCGGAACGUGCCCAGUCGUGGGGGAUAACGCAGCGAAAGCUGUGCUAAUACCGCAUACGAUCUAUGGAUGAAAGCGGGGGACCGUAAGGCCUCGCGCGAUUGGAGCGGCCGAUGUCAGAUUAGCUAGUUGGUGGGGUAAAGGCCCACCAAGGCGACGAUCUGUAGCUGGUCUGAGAGGACGACCAGCCACACUGGGACUGAGAAACGGCCCAGACUCCUACGGGAGGCAGCAGUGGGGAAUUUUGGACAAUGGGCGCAAGCCUGAUCCAGCAAUGCCGCGUGCAGGAAGAAGGCCUUCGGGUUGUAAACUGCUUUUGUACGGAACGAAACGGUCUGGGUUAAUACCCUGGGCUAAUGACGGUACCGUAAGAAUAAGCACCGGCUAACUACGUGCCAGCCGCCGCAGUAA